RNAcentral lists this ribosomal RNA (449 nucleotides) under uncultured bacterium. RNAcentral describes it as "partial 16S ribosomal RNA". It matches the Rfam family "Bacterial small subunit ribosomal RNA", at positions 29 to 523 of the family's 1533-position model. The record is from RNAcentral.
AACGAACGCUGGCGGCAUGCCUAACACAUGCAAGUCGAACGAGAUCUUCGGGUCUAGUGGCGCACGGGUGCGUAACGCGUGGGAAUCUGCCCUUUGGUUCGGAAUAACAGUUGGAAACGACUGCUAAUACCGGAUGAUGACGAAAGUCCAAAGAUUUAUCGCCGGAGGAUGAGCCCGCGUAGGAUUAGCUAGUUGGUGUGGUAAAGGCGCACCAAGGCGACGAUCCUUAGCUGGUCUGAGAGGAUGAUCAGCCACACUGGGACUGAGACACGGCCCAGACUCCUACGGGAGGCAGCAGUGGGGAAUAUUGGACAAUGGGCGAAAGCCUGAUCCAGCAAUGCCGCGUGAGUGAUGAAGGCCUUAGGGUUGUAAAGCUCUUUUACCCGGGAUGAUAAUGACAGUGCCGGGAGAAUAAGCUCCGGCUAACUCCGUGCCAGCCGCCGCGGUAA